UCCUGAUGAGCAACUUAGAUGACGAGUCUGAUUUGGAUUUUCCAAUGCGGAUACAAACUUUUUAUACCAUUCAUGCAACGACUGAAU
Colletotrichum fioriniae PJ7 is the source of this 87-nucleotide small nucleolar RNA. Lineage: Eukaryota; Fungi; Ascomycota; Sordariomycetes; Glomerellales; Glomerellaceae. The record is from Rfam.